RNAcentral lists this long non-coding RNA (691 nucleotides) under Aquila chrysaetos chrysaetos. RNAcentral describes it as "lncRNA (ENSACCG00020008745.1)". Lineage: Eukaryota; Metazoa; Chordata; Aves; Accipitriformes; Accipitridae. The record is from RNAcentral.
GGAGCACCCUGCCCACCACCCUGCUGCUGAUUGCGCUGCUGGGGCUGGCCCUGGCGCUGGGGCUCUGCUGCGCCCGCCGCACCAGGCUGCACAAGCGCCUCUGCCAGCUCAGCAAGGGGACCUCCUGCCAGUACAGCGCUGAGACCCAGGCCCGAUUCCUGGGUCCAGAAGCCCCAGACGGCUGGAGCGGGUAACGUCACUGCUGGAGCCUGGGCGUGGGGCUGUCCCUGAGCCGUCCUGCUUCACAAGGCCUCCGGUGCUGCGAUCUUCCCCUGGCAGUGCCCAUGGGGUGUGGGGCAGCCCCGGGGUGCAGGGUGUCACCUCUUCUGGUGCUGAGGGGAUCUCACAGCCGGAGCCCCGGUCAGGCAGCCAGGGCCCCCCCGAGCGCCCCCGGCCCCCACAGCGGCAUCAGGCCACAGAGCUGCAGGUCAUGCACAGCGGCAAGCCGGCUGCCCUCGGCUCGGCCCGGCCCGGUCCGCCCUCCCGGCCUCUCCCGCCAGAUCCUCCUCCCAAGCCCCCAGGUCCGGCCAAGCCCCCCCCCGCCUCAGCGGCCGCUGCCCUUGGACCCCCCGGGGCCUUCGCUUCCCCACAGCGAGACCCCUGGUCACCCCUAUGUCACGGUGAUUCCCUCCAGGUGAGCAUGGUGGCAGCUGGGGGGGGCAGGACCGGGCUGUGGGGUGCCAGGUUGGGG